GCGGCGGACGGGUGAGUAACACGUGGGUAACCUGCCUGUAAGACUGGGAUAACUCCGGGAAACCGGGGCUAAUACCGGAUGCUUGAUUGAACCGCAUGGUUCAAUUAUAAAAGGUGGCUUUUACCUACCACUUACAAAUGGACCCGCGGCGCAUUACCUAGUUGGUGAGGUAACGGCUCACCAAGGCAACGAUGCGUACCCAACCUGAAAGGGUGAUCGGCCACACUGGGACUGAAACACGGCCCAAACUCCUACGGGAGGCAGCAGUAGGGAAUCUUCCGCAAUGGACAAAAGUCUGACGGACCAACGCCGCGUGAGUGAUGAAGGUUUUCGGAUCGAAAAACUCUGUUGUUAGGGAAAAACAA
RNAcentral lists this ribosomal RNA (365 nucleotides) under Bacillus sp. (in: firmicutes). RNAcentral describes it as "bacterial SSU rRNA". It matches the Rfam family "Bacterial small subunit ribosomal RNA", at positions 95 to 452 of the family's 1533-position model. Lineage: Bacteria; Bacillati; Bacillota; Bacilli; Caryophanales; Bacillaceae. The record is from RNAcentral.